CAGUAGCCGCGGGAAUACGUAGGUGGCAAGCGUUGUCCGGAAUUAUUGGGCGUAAAGCGCGCGCAGGCGGAUCGGUCAGUCUGUCUUAAAAGUUCGGGGCUUAACCCCGUGAUGGGAUGGAAACUGCCAAUCUAGAGUAUCGGAGAGGAAAGUGGAAUUCCUAGUGUAGCGGUGAAAUGCGUAGAUAUUAGGAAGAACACCAGUGGCGAAGGCGACUUUCUGGACGAAAACUGACGCUGAGGCGCGAAAGCCAGGGGAGCGAACGGGAUUAGAUACCCCGGUAGUCCCUGUCUCUUAUACA
RNAcentral lists this ribosomal RNA (301 nucleotides) under uncultured bacterium. RNAcentral describes it as "partial 16S ribosomal RNA". It matches the Rfam family "Bacterial small subunit ribosomal RNA", at positions 509 to 809 of the family's 1533-position model. The record is from RNAcentral.